AGCAGCCGCGGUAAUUCCAGCUCCAAUAGCGUAUAUUAAAGUUGUUGCAGUUAAAAAGCUCGUAGUUGAAUUUCGGGAUCAGUUGGUCGGUCGUGCCUCGGUACGUACUGGUCAAAUUGAUUCCUACCUUCUGACGAACCACGAUGUCAUUAAUUUGGUGUCGUGGGGAAUCAGGACUGUUACUUUGAAAAAAUUAGAGUGUUUAAAGCAGGCUCGCGCUUGAAUACAUUAGCAUGGAAUAAUGAAAUAGGACGUUUGAUUCUAUUUUGUUGGUUUCUAGGAUCGACGUAAUGAUUAAUAGGGAUAGUUGGGGGCAUUAGUAUUCAAUUGUCAGAGGUGAAAUUCUUGGAUUUAUUGAAGACUAACUACUGCGAAAGCAUUUGCCAAGGAUGUUUUCAUUAAUCAAGAACGAAAGUUAGGGGAUCGAAGACGAUCAGAUACCGUCGUAGUCUUAACCAUAAACUAUGCCGACUAGGGAUCGGAUGAUGUUAAUUUUUAAUGACUCAUUCAGCGCCUUACG
This 520-nucleotide ribosomal RNA is filed under the name uncultured Glomus. RNAcentral describes it as "SSU rRNA". It matches the Rfam family "Eukaryotic small subunit ribosomal RNA", at positions 569 to 1092 of the family's 1831-position model. Lineage: Eukaryota; Fungi; Glomeromycota; Glomeromycetes; Glomerales; Glomeraceae. The record is from RNAcentral.